GCUAUAGCUCAGUUGGUUAGAGCAUGGUGCUGAUAAUGCAAAGAUUGCAGGUUCGAUCCCUGUAUGGGAUGGCCA
Podarcis lilfordi (Lilford's wall lizard) is the source of this 75-nucleotide non-coding RNA. The record is from the annotation of a GenBank genome assembly. Lineage: Eukaryota; Metazoa; Chordata; Lepidosauria; Squamata; Lacertidae.